CACUCUUUAUGCCGGGACUAAUUGAACAUUGUCGCGAUCUGGCAGUACUCUAAACGACACUGCAUUUCAUACGUGCGUUUCACCGAGACGUAGGGGGAAGUGACGUCAUACGUUCAAACUGGAAAUGACGUCCCGCGAACAAAAGAUUGUAUACAGAUGUUCGUGGAAGAUGGGGGAUAUAAAAGAUGAGCAUUAGGACUCAUUCAUCAGCACUGGAAAAAGGAUUAUCCAAC
This is a non-coding RNA of Pelobates cultripes (western spadefoot toad), 233 nucleotides long. The record is from the annotation of a GenBank genome assembly. NCBI's taxonomy places the organism in Eukaryota, Metazoa, Chordata, Amphibia, Anura, Pelobatidae.